GAACGCACCUUGCGCUCCUUGGUAUUCCGAGGAGCAUGCCUGUUUGAGUGUCAUUAAUAUAUCAACCUUCUCUUUUUGAGUGGUUUGGAUGUGGGGGUUUGCUGGCCUUGUAAAGGGUUCAGCUCCCCUGAAAUGCAUUAGCAGAACAACCCUGUUCAUUGGUGUGAUAACUAUCUACGCUAUUGAAUGUAAGGGGGCGGUUCAGCUUUCUAACAGUCCUCGGACAAUUCAUCAUUAAUGUGACCUCAAAUCAGGUAGGACUACCCGCUGAACUUAA
This 277-nucleotide unclassified non-coding RNA is filed under the name uncultured Cortinarius. Its description in RNAcentral is "partial contains 5.8S ribosomal RNA, internal transcribed spacer 2, and large subunit ribosomal RNA". The stretch from base 1 to 53 matches the Rfam family "5.8S ribosomal RNA", at positions 102 to 154 of the family's 154-position model. The record is from RNAcentral. Lineage: Eukaryota; Fungi; Basidiomycota; Agaricomycetes; Agaricales; Cortinariaceae.